Molecule: ribosomal RNA, 934 nt
Filed under: Pachyphlodes depressa
Lineage: Eukaryota; Fungi; Ascomycota; Pezizomycetes; Pezizales; Pezizaceae
Description: eukaryotic LSU rRNA
Rfam family: Eukaryotic large subunit ribosomal RNA
Source: RNAcentral
CUAGCAUAUCAAUAAGCGGAGGAAAAGAAACCAACAGGGAUUGCCUUAGUAACGGCGAGUGAAGCGGCAAAAGCUCAGAUUUGAAAUCUGGUGUCAAAUUGAUACCCGAGUUGUAAUCUGUAGAGGAGUUUUUCGGAGUAUGGCUUUGGUUAAAGUUCCUUGGAAAAGGGCAUCAUAGAGGGUGAGAAUCCUGUUUAUGACCAGUGUCUGUCUCCAUUAUGAAUCUCCUUCAAUGAGUCGAGUUGUUUGGGAAUGCAGCUCUAAAUGGGUGGUAAAUUCCAUCUAAAGCUAAAUAUUGGCAAGAGACCGAUAGCGCACAAGUAGAGUGAUCGAAAGAUGAAAAGAACUCUGAACAGAGAGUUAAAGAGUACGUGAAAUUGUUGAAAGGGAAGCACUUGUGACCAGACAAAUUUACAGUUAAUCAGCCAUCAAUAUUUGGUGGUGCACUUAAUUGUAGGUGGGUCAGCAUCAGUUAUAGUAGUGGAACAAAGAUCAAAGGAAUGUAGCUCCUCUUUGAGGAGUGUUAUAGCCUUUGGUUCAAUACCGCUGGCCAUGACUGAGGAUAGCACUUCCAGUAAGGAUGCUGACAUAAUGGUCAUAAGUGACCCGUCUUGAAACACGGACCAAGGAGUCUAACAUCUAUGCGAGUGUUUGGGUUCAAGCCCUUAUGCAAAAUGAAAGUGAAUGGAGGUGGAAACCAUUAGGUGCACCAUCGACCGAUCCUGAAGUUUUCUGAUGGAUUUGAGUAGGAGCAUAGCUGUUGGGACCCGAAAGAUGGUGAACUAUGCCUGAAUAGGGUGAAGCCAGAGGAAACUCUGGUGGAGGCUCGCAGCGGUUCUGACGUGCAAAUCGAUCGUCAAAUUUGGGUAUAGGGGCGAAAGACUAAUCGAACCAUCUAGUAGCUGGUUCCGGCCGAGCCCUCCCUCACAGAAAA